GAUCCGUUUCCAUCAGUCCUUACAGCCGCUCCUCAGACCCCAGCAGCAAAGAUGAUGAAGCAGAUCGAGAGCAAGGCUGCUUUUCAGGAAGCCUUGAACACCACAGGUGAUAAACUUGUAGUAGUUGACUUCUCAGCCACGUGGUGUGGGCCUUGCAAAAUGAUCAAGCCUUUCUUUCAUUCCCUCUCUGAAAAGUCAAAUGCAUGCCAACAUUCCAGUUUUUUAAGAAGGGACAAAAGGUGGGUGAAUUUUCUGGAGCCAAUAAGGAAAAGCUUGAAGCCACCAUUAAUGAAUUAGUCUAAUCAUGUUUUCUGAAAACAUAACCAGCCAUUGGCUAUUUAAAACUUGUAAUUUUUUUAAUUUACAAAAAUAUAAAAUAUGAAGACAUAAACCCAGUUGCCAUCUGCGUGACAAUAAAACAUUAAU
Cercocebus atys (sooty mangabey) is the source of this 426-nucleotide RNA transcript. It is a transcript of the gene named thioredoxin pseudogene, with no coding region annotated. The transcript has a single exon. The record is from RefSeq and is a predicted model, not a curated record. Lineage: Eukaryota; Metazoa; Chordata; Mammalia; Primates; Cercopithecidae.